CGACUGGGUAGGGGUCGAGGUGGUUCCUCCGUCUUGCGCUGCGUCUGGUGCGUUCCUCUGUCUUCCGCAACCUCCAGCUAGGGUCCCCAGCUCACCGCCGCACCACCUGCCUCUAUACAGCUGCGCCGCCGCCUGCCCCCAUCUAUCUCAAUGGCUAAAAGGGAUGCGGGUUCCUUCCGCGUGCCGCUUUUCCCGUGGCGGCACCACCACCUCCGUCGAUGUGCCUCAGACGAUCACCGUCGCCGACGAUCCGUUCUUGUUUGCUUAAUGUCUCGCGUCCUCUGUUGUCUUCCAUCUCUGCUCUUGGUGGAUAGCGGCUGGUGGUCAGCGAUUGCUGCUGGUCGGGCUGCCGUGUCUCCGGCCAAGUUCAGGCUCGGCGUUCGCGUUUCUUUCACGGAGUUGGUGCGGGGUGAGGUUUUGGUGGGUUGUGGAGCUGCUGGGGCUGUCUUUCCUGCCAGGCGGCGGGGUUUCACGCUGCUGAUCCUUUGGCAGUGGUGCGCCCUUUUGGGGGCUUCGACGGCGCUGACCGGCUUCAUCCUUUUGUCCUCUCCGGCUGCCGACAUUUUUGUCAGGUGCCAGUCUUCUUAUGUAUCAACAACUCUUUAUAUACCCACUCAUCAAUAAAGUUCUUGGACAUGUCAGAUCUUCUCAAAUCGCAGCUGUUCUGUGCAUACCUAGUCCCUUUGCCUACCCCUAUAUGAAAUACCUGUCAGAACCUGGAUUAUCAAUCCUUCUGAAUAUUGUAUCGUUCAUAAAAAAUAAUCUUGGUGCGAGUAUUCUUUUCCAUCUUAUUUUAGACUUUCAGAAUCUACAAAGUAGAUAGAUCAUAGAUGGCAAUUGUGAUGUUUCUGAAAAUCCGUGUAGUGUUUUGCCACCAGAAAGGAGUUGACUCAAUCUUAGAUACUCCCUCCGUCCAUCUUAAGUGACUCAAAUUUGCCCAAAUAUGGAUGUAUCUAUACCCAAAAAUCGUCUAGAUACAUUUAAUAUUUUGUCACUUAAUAUGGAACAGAGGGAGUACUAUUUUUCUGUCACAAUAGCUAAAGUUUAUCUCACGACGAGUAUUGGUCUCCAUGAUUACUUUAUCAAGUUACCAUCAUCACAUACACUUUCAUCCUUCAAAACAAUGCUGUGGUACGUAACCCUUAAGUUCAUCUCAAUUUCAAUUUCCUUUAUAGAAGAUCUGUGCUUCAAGUCUGCAACUGACUGAUGAUCAUGAAAUUACUAACAGUCUCAGGACCAAAGAGGAGCAGCAAACGGAUUGGCCAUGACAGUAAUGUCCUUUUUCAAGGCAGUUGCUCUGGCAGGUGCUGGCAUUGUGUUCUCUUGGGCGCAGAAACACCAGCAUGCUUUCUUCUUUCCAGGUGACCAGAUGGUGUUCUUCCUCCUGAAUAUCUUGGAGCAAUAUGAUGGAAACUAGCUUUCAUUUUACCUGAUUGCGACUUCAGGAAGGGUUGCUUACCUCAUAUAUUGUGUAUCCUGUAGUAGCAAAGAAUCAAUGAGUGAGGACAGAGAUGAAGGGUUACAUGAAGAAGAUGAAUAAAGACUUUCAGCCUUUCAGGUGCUGCAUCUGUGAGAAACAUAGCCACAAUUACAGAACAUGAAAAAGGACUUCCAGGCCUGAUCUCCUGACAAAAUGAUACUUUCAAAUGCAAUAUGAUAUCCAUCGCACUAUUUUGGUUUUAAUAAAUGUGUGUGCAAUAUUAGGAGUCAAGCAAACAACAAGGAUAUGGUCUAAUGUUGCUGGUGCUCCAAUAUGUUGAUCCUUAUAGUGGAUAUGACAUUUCAGAUGCUGCUGCCACAUCUUCUACAGCACCAAGCAAUGCGGUUCUGCCAAGGGGAUAUAGAAGGCAAGCUUUACUACCUACACAUUUGCGUAUGUGAUGAUCUCCUUUUGGGUUCUGGGGUGAUUUUUGGAACAAGUUAAUACUUCACUCCAGAUAUUGGUUCAUCUUUUUGACAGUAGAAAAUAAUGAUGAUUAUGUCCAACAUGGUAUUCGAAAAGGUGCUGGUACUAGGCUUAUAUUUCUAAGUUUUUUUCGUUUACGGUGUUCAAGUUUUGUUUCAGACAGUGUUAGGCUUUCUUAGCUGUAGUGUACAACCCAUUUUGGGCAGGAUUUGUUUAGUGGUUCUCUCAAAUCUGUAACGACUUUAUUAUUUAUGAAAUAUUACUGCGUCUCUCGGUCA
Molecule: long non-coding RNA, 2184 nt
Organism: Brachypodium distachyon (stiff brome)
Lineage: Eukaryota; Viridiplantae; Streptophyta; Magnoliopsida; Poales; Poaceae
Exons: 5
Source: RefSeq, a predicted model, not a curated record